GCGCAGGCUUCACUGUACUUAAACAGAGUGCCAAAGCUGACAUCACCUUCCUUGUUCUCACAGGGCUCCAGCUGGGUGAACUAUGGGGCAUUUGCCCGGAGUUCAUGCUCAGCAUCAGGGUCAAAGCAAAGGGAACUCUGACAAUGAUUCCAUUGUGAACUUGUUCUGGGAAUGCCAUGAUGAUUCUCUAUCAUGUUCCUCGUACACUGCACCAGCACCACUGCUUCCCUUCCCAGUGAGAACCCGAUCAAGCUUUAUCAUGCAGCCCAGAAGGGUGGGGGAAAGAAAAAGAAUUAGGAGAAAAUGGUUGUAAAAGUAAUGAGAUAAUAUGAGAAUGUGCUUUGGGAACUGCGAAUCUGGAGUCACUGGUCCAUGAGGAAUCUAGGAUAAGAAGAAGGAAGCUGUGAAGAAUGGUUGGCUAACAGUGCUGGCAAGGAAUUCAGAUCAACAUACCUCUCAAAAGAAUGGAAGUCUCUUAAACUCAGGUAAUUGUUAAAUUGGUUCAAGUGUAUUAUGGCAAGAAUGCUUCUCUCUCCUUCCCUAAUAUAACACUGCCCUAAAUGACUCCCUACCUCCCUGUUUUGUCUCACGCUUGACAGUGAAAACAAAGAUAAAUAUUUGAGGAAACAUAAACUCAAUAAUGUCAUUUAUUGGAAAGCUACAGUUUACAGAUUCUUUGCAUUUAUUACCA
This 691-nucleotide long non-coding RNA is filed under the name Homo sapiens (human). RNAcentral describes it as "non-protein coding lnc-P2RY1-3:10". The record is from RNAcentral. Lineage: Eukaryota; Metazoa; Chordata; Mammalia; Primates; Hominidae.